CUCUUACAUAGAGAUAUAAAAAUACACACUUAAGAUGGAGUACAUGCUAAUAACUCUCCUAUAAUUUGAACACUACAUUAGAUAAUAUUAAGGAUGGUUUGCAUGUUUGGAACUCCUAUUCCUGAUUAACAAUGCUUGCAGUAUGUUUCAUCCCCUCCAUUAGUGCUGUGUAAUUGACCAUGUGAUGGUUUUUUGGGAAUAAGUUUAGUUCUGAGGCUAUAUCUGUGGCUAUUGAGUUGGGUUGUCUGCUGAGCAUCACAUUUACUGCUCUGGACUUUGAUAUUACCAUUUCUCACACAUGGUUAUAAUCUGAUCUUGAAAGUCUCUCCUGUUUCUAAAAAUGUUGGUUUUAAUGCUGUGUUUUUUAAUAUGUCAGUAUAAAACUACUACCGGGAUUCCAAACAUAGGGAUGAUAACUUCAGUUGGUAAACUGCUGUGCUGACAUAAGGACCUGAGUUGAUUAUUAGGACUCAUG
This 475-nucleotide long non-coding RNA is filed under the name Mus musculus (house mouse). Its description in RNAcentral is "predicted gene, 26652". The record is from RNAcentral. Lineage: Eukaryota; Metazoa; Chordata; Mammalia; Rodentia; Muridae.